UACGUAGGGUGCAAGCGUUGUCCGGAAUUAUUGGGCGUAAAGAGCUCGUAGGCGGUCUGUCGCGUCGGCUGUGAAAACCCGGGGCUCAACCCCGGGCCUGCAGUCGAUACGGGCAGACUAGAGUGUGGUAGGGGAGACUGGAAUUCCUGGUGUAGCGGUGGAAUGCGCAGAUAUCAGGAGGAACACCGAUGGCGAAGGCAGGUCUCUGGGCCACUACUGACGCUGAGAAGCGAAAGCAUGGGGAGCGAACAGG
RNAcentral lists this ribosomal RNA (253 nucleotides) under uncultured bacterium. RNAcentral describes it as "partial 16S ribosomal RNA". It matches the Rfam family "Bacterial small subunit ribosomal RNA", at positions 524 to 776 of the family's 1533-position model. The record is from RNAcentral.